RNAcentral lists this ribosomal RNA (1468 nucleotides) under Streptococcus salivarius. Its description in RNAcentral is "bacterial SSU rRNA". It matches the Rfam family "Bacterial small subunit ribosomal RNA". The record is from RNAcentral. Lineage: Bacteria; Bacillati; Bacillota; Bacilli; Lactobacillales; Streptococcaceae.
GACGAACGCUGGCGGCGUGCCUAAUACAUGCAAGUAGAACGCUGAAGAGAGGAGCUUGCUCUUCUUGGAUGAGUUGCGAACGGGUGAGUAACGCGUAGGUAACCUGCCUUGUAGCGGGGGAUAACUAUUGGAAACGAUAGCUAAUACCGCAUAACAAUGGAUGACACAUGUCAUUUAUUUGAAAGGGGCAAUUGCUCCACUACAAGAUGGACCUGCGUUGUAUUAGCUAGUAGGUGAGGUAACGGCUCACCUAGGCGACGAUACAUAGCCGACCUGAGAGGGUGAUCGGCCACACUGGGACUGAGACACGGCCCAGACUCCUACGGGAGGCAGCAGUAGGGAAUCUUCGGCAAUGGGGGCAACCCUGACCGAGCAACGCCGCGUGAGUGAAGAAGGUUUUCGGAUCGUAAAGCUCUGUUGUAAGUCAAGAACGAGUGUGAGAGUGGAAAGUUCACACUGUGACGGUAGCUUACCAGAAAGGGACGGCUAACUACGUGCCAGCAGCCGCGGUAAUACGUAGGUCCCGAGCGUUGUCCGGAUUUAUUGGGCGUAAAGCGAGCGCAGGCGGUUUGAUAAGUCUGAAGUUAAAGGCUGUGGCUCAACCAUAGUUCGCUUUGGAAACUGUCAAACUUGAGUGCAGAAGGGGAGAGUGGAAUUCCAUGUGUAGCGGUGAAAUGCGUAGAUAUAUGGAGGAACACCGGUGGCGAAAGCGGCUCUCUGGUCUGUAACUGACGCUGAGGCUCGAAAGCGUGGGGAGCGAACAGGAUCAGAUACCCUGGUAGUCCACGCCGUAAACGAUGAGUGCUAGGUGUUGGAUCCUUUCCGGGAUUCAGUGCCGCAGCUAACGCAUUAAGCACUCCGCCUGGGGAGUACGACCGCAAGGUUGAAACUCAAAGGAAUUGACGGGGGCCCGCACAAGCGGUGGAGCAUGUGGUUUAAUUCGAAGCAACGCGAAGAACCUUACCAGGUCUUGACAUCCCGAUGCUAUUUCUAGAGAUAGAAAGUUACUUCGGUACAUCGGUGACAGGUGGUGCAUGGUUGUCGUCAGCUCGUGUCGUGAGAUGUUGGGUUAAGUCCCGCAACGAGCGCAACCCCUAUUGUUAGUUGCCAUCAUUCAGUUGGGCACUCUAGCGAGACUGCCGGUAAUAAACCGGAGGAAGGUGGGGAUGACGUCAAAUCAUCAUGCCCCUUAUGACCUGGGCUACACACGUGCUACAAUGGUUGGUACAACGAGUUGCGAGUCGGUGACGGCAAGCUAAUCUCUUAAAGCCAAUCUCAGUUCGGAUUGUAGGCUGCAACUCGCCUACAUGAAGUCGGAAUCGCUAGUAAUCGCGGAUCAGCACGCCGCGGUGAAUACGUUCCCGGGCCUUGUACACACCGCCCGUCACACCACGAGAGUUUGUAACACCCGAAGUCGGUGAGGUAACCUUUUGGAGCCAGCCGCCUAAGGUGGGAUAGAUGAUUGGGG